UCCUCAUUGGUCUAACGGCUAUGAUACCACUCUUUCACUGAUGUACGGCAGAAAUGUUCCAGGGUACAGUGGGGACCAGGGUUCGACUCCCUGAUGGGGAA
This is a non-coding RNA of Hydnum rufescens UP504, 101 nucleotides long. Lineage: Eukaryota; Fungi; Basidiomycota; Agaricomycetes; Cantharellales; Hydnaceae. The record is from the annotation of a GenBank genome assembly.